AACGCUAGCUACAGGCUUAACACAUGCAAGUCGAGGGGCAUCAGGAAGAAAGCUUGCUUUCUUUGCUGGCGACCGGCGCACGGGUGAGUAACACGUAUCCAACCUGCCCUUUACUCGGGGAUAGCCUUUCGAAAGAAAGAUUAAUACCCGAUAGCAUAAUGAUUCCGCAUGGUUUCAUUAUUAAAGGAUUCCGGUAAAGGAUGGGGAUGCGUUCCAUUAGGUUGUUGGUGAGGUAACGGCUCACCAAGCCUUCGAUGGAUAGGGGUUCUGAGAGGAAGGUCCCCCACAUUGGAACUGAGACACGGUCCAAACUCCUACGGGAGGCAGCAGUGAGGAAUAUUGGUCAAUGGGCGGUAGCCUGAACCAGCCAAGUAGCGUGAAGGAUGAAGGCUCUAUGGGUCGUAAACUUCUUUUAUAUAAGAAUAAAGUGCAGUAUGUAUACUGUUUUGUAUGUAUUAUAUGAAUAAGGAUCGGCUAACUCCGUGCCAGCAGCCGCGGUAAUACGGAGGAUCCGAGCGUUAUCCGGAUUUAUUGGGUUUAAAGGGAGCGUAGGUGGACUGGUAAGUCAGUUGUGAAAGUUUGCGGCUCAACCGUAAAAUUGCAGUUGAUACUGUCAGUCUUGAGUACAGUAGAGGUGGGCGGAAUUCGUGGUGUAGCGGUGAAAUGCUUAGAUAUCACGAAGAACUCCGAUUGCGAAGGCAGCUCACUGGACUGCAACUGACACUGAUGCUCGAAAGUGUGGGUAUCAAACAGGAUUAGAUACCCUGGUAGUCCACACAGUAAACGAUGAAUACUCGCUGUUUGCGAUAUACAGUAAGCGGCCAAGCGAAAGCAUUAAGUAUUCCACCUGGGGAGUACGCCGGCAACGGUGAAACUCAAAGGAAUUGACGGGGGCCCGCACAAGCGGAGGAACAUGUGGUUUAAUUCGAUGAUACGCGAGGAACCUUACCCGGGCUUAAAUUGCAGUGGAAUGAUGUGGAAACAUGUCAGUGAGCAAUCACCGCUGUGAAGGUGCUGCAUGGUUGUCGUCAGCUCGUGCCGUGAGGUGUCGGCUUAAGUGCCAUAACGAGCGCAACCCUUAUCUUUAGUUACUAACAGGUCAUGCUGAGGACUCUAGAGAGACUGCCGUCGUAAGAUGUGAGGAAGGUGGGGAUGACGUCAAAUCAGCACGGCCCUUACGUCCGGGGCUACACACGUGUUACAAUGGGGGGUACAGAAGGCAGCUAGCGGGUGACCGUAUGCUAAUCCCAAAAGCCUCUCUCAGUUCGGAUCGAAGUCUGCAACCCGACUUCGUGAAGCUGGAUUCGCUAGUAAUCGCGCAUCAGCCACGGCGCGGUGAAUACGUUCCCGGGCCUUGUACACACCGCCCGUCAAGCCAUGGGAGCCGGGGGUACCUGAAGUGCGUAACCGCAAGGAUCGUCCUAGGGUAAAACUGGUGACUGGGGCUAAGU
Molecule: ribosomal RNA, 1451 nt
Filed under: uncultured organism
Description: SSU rRNA
Rfam family: Bacterial small subunit ribosomal RNA
Source: RNAcentral